UACGGAGGGUGCAAACGUUGCUCGGAAUUAUUGGGCGUAAAGCGCACGUAGGCGGUUCGUUAUGUCGGAUGUGAAAGCCCCGGGCUUAACCCGGGAAGGGCAUCCGAAACUGGCGGGCUUGAAUACGGAAGAGGGUCUCGGAAUUCCCGGUGUAGAGGUGAAAUUCGUAGAUAUCGGGAGGAACACCAGUGGCGAAGGCGGAGACCUGGGCCGAUACUGACGCUGAGGUGCGAAAGCGUGGGGAGCAAACAGG
Molecule: ribosomal RNA, 253 nt
Filed under: uncultured bacterium
Lineage: Bacteria
Description: partial 16S ribosomal RNA
Rfam family: Bacterial small subunit ribosomal RNA
Source: RNAcentral